AAAGCCUCCUCUGUGUGAUUUGUUGCACGCGUGGUCCCCAUUCCAUUGAGCACUAUCGAUGCUAAACGCUGGAUUGGUGGCAUUUAGCGCCACCGUUCCAGUGAUCUCUCAUGCAUUACAAAGUCCUCGACGCUAAACGCUGGGUCGUAGCGUUUAGCGCCACCCUUCCAGAAUGAAAUAGUGAGAAUUAAGGUGCUGGCGCUAAACACCGUUAAUGUGGUGUUUAACGCCACCUAUCCCGAGAAGAAUUGGUUUGUUGAGCUCGUCCAAUCAUCCGUACGCACAAUAGAUGCAUACGUAUGAGGUCCCUUAUUGCGCUAGUGAUGUGUACGCAUGCAUGAUGCAUACGCGUGAGUCCUUCUUUUCUUUUUCAUGAAUUUUUCACCAAAUCUUCAUCUGAAUGCUACCUGAAAUCACAAAAGGUCAAAAAAAUUCAAAGUGGCAUCCAUUAGGGUAUAAUUCACUAAAAUUCUCUGACAAAUAAAAAAAAUACCAUAUAAAUCAUAUAGAAAAGACACUAAUGAUGCUCACGCAUCACCUCCCCCCAUUUGUAGCGAGCUCAACGAGAAACCACCAUAAAUAGCUUGAUGGUUGCUGAGAACAAUGGCGAAGACAGCAACAAGCUCUCAACCCAUGGGGGGAAUUGCCACAAAAGAAGCUUUGUUCCAACAACAAACACAGUUAUCUACUCAUGGCAAUGAUUCGGUAACAACAGUUCUUGCUCCCUCUUCAGUCACAUUAACUGUGAGAUACAUGAUCAGCUUUCCUUGAGGAUGUUUGGAGCAGCUGAGCUUGAAAAAAGACUUUACAUACUGAGAGAAAGACAUAAUAAAGAGGCAAAAAUAAAUCUGGAGGCACCAACAAGCACACUGACACAGUCACACACAUUAAUGUUGUUAAUCAAUCAAAUGAGUUCCAUCUCUGGCAUUGUAGGUUAGGUCAUGUGUCAAAUGAUAGGCUAAAAAUUUUGAAAAAA
Non-coding RNA from Arachis ipaensis, 976 nucleotides. The record is from RefSeq and is a predicted model, not a curated record. Lineage: Eukaryota; Viridiplantae; Streptophyta; Magnoliopsida; Fabales; Fabaceae.